AACGAACGCUGGCGGCAGGCCUAACACAUGCAAGUCGAACGCCGUAGCAAUACGGAGUGGCAGACGGGUGAGUAACGCGUGGGAACAUACCCCCUCGGUUCGGGAAUAACUUAGGGAAACGUUGUAGCUAAUACCGGAUACGUCCGAGGUUUUAACCGGUCCUCGGAGAAAGAUUUAUCGCCGGAGGAUUGGCCCGCGUCUGAUUAGCUUGUUGGUGAGGUAAUGGCUCACCAAGGCGACGAUCAGUAGCUGGUCUGAGAGGAUGAUCAGCCACAUUGGGACUGAGACACGGCCCAAACCUCCUACGGGAGGGCAGCAGUGGGGAAGUAUUGGACAAUGGGCGGAAAGCCUGAUCCAGCCAUGCCGCGUGAGU
This 373-nucleotide ribosomal RNA is filed under the name uncultured bacterium. RNAcentral's name for it is "bacterial SSU rRNA". It matches the Rfam family "Bacterial small subunit ribosomal RNA", at positions 29 to 406 of the family's 1533-position model. The record is from RNAcentral.